This is an RNA transcript of Bombus terrestris (buff-tailed bumblebee), 5231 nucleotides long. It is a transcript of the gene named ran-binding protein 9, with no coding region annotated. The record is from RefSeq and is a predicted model, not a curated record. Lineage: Eukaryota; Metazoa; Arthropoda; Insecta; Hymenoptera; Apidae. The transcript has 9 exons.
UCAGUCAAGCAGAGUCCACUGGCGAAAGUAGUGGGGCUGCCCAGGAGAAAGAUGGCCGCUACCAGCGAGGAACCGAGUGUUAUGGAGCCUUCUCAGACGAAUUCCGGGCAAAGUCAGCCCGUUGAUCCACUAAAGAUGCUUUAUCCGAUGGUAAACGAAGAGGAAACACCGCUGCCACGUUCGUGGAGCCCCAAGGACAAGUACAAUUACAUCGGCCUCUCCCAAAACAAUCUUCGUGUUCACUACAAAGGUUAUGGAAAAACUCACAAGGAUGCCGCAAGUGUACGUACAACGCACUGCAUACCAGCAGCUUGUGGUCUCUAUUAUUUUGAGGUGAAGAUCGUUAGUAAAGGCAGAGAUGGUUACAUGGGAAUCGGUUUGUCUGCCCAUGGAGUGAACGUGAAUAGGUUGCCAGGUUGGGACAAACACUCCUACGGGUAUCAUGGUGACGAUGGGCACAGUUUCUGUUCUUCUGGAACAGGACAACCUUACGGGCCCACCUUCACCACAGGAGAUGUAAUCGGAUGUGGUGUAAAUCUUGUUGACAACACUGCCUUCUAUACGAAGAAUGGACACCAUCUUGGUAUCGCCUUCACUGAUCUUCCGCCAAAUUUAUAUCCAACGGUGGGCCUUCAAACUCCAGGAGAGGUAGUCGAUGCAAACUUCGGACAAGAACCGUUUGUAUUUGACAUCGAUGAUAUGCUUAACGAACUCCGCGUCAAAACAAGAUUGCAAAUUAUAAACUACCCCACACCAGAUCACGGACAGGGUCAAUGGCAAGCAGUCCUCCACAAAAUGGUGUCAACAUAUUUGGUCCAUCAUGGUUACUGUGCCACUGCCGAAGCCUUUGCCAAUAGUACUGGCCAGGGAUUCGAAGAAGAUCUUAAUUCCAUUAAAAAUAGACAAAAAAUUCUAAAGCUGGUAUUAGCGGGCAGAAUGGGAGAAGCAAUAGAAUUAACCAGUCGGUUGUAUCCGGGUCUCCUCGAACGGGAUCCGAAUCUUCUUUUCGCCCUCAAAUGUCGGCAGUUCGUUGAAAUGGUGAACGGCAGUGACUCGGAAAUCACACAGAAUUCCAAUAUCAAUCAAACUAGUGUUAUACAGUCUACGAAGGCUUACACAAAACCCUCAACAAAUGGCAAUGUUGAGGAGAUGAAUAUGAACAAUGCCAUGAAUGGUUCGACCGAACAACAGCUUGUUAAUGGACAAAUUGAAAACGAUGUAGAUAUGGAGGAGAAUGUUAUAAACGGCAUGAAAAGUAAUACCGAAAACGGCUAUCAAAAUGGUGAUUUGAAUACCAACAGGUAUAAGUGUCAGAACGGGGAAGACGUUGAUAUGGAGACCAAUAGUGUUAAUCAAAUUCAGCAACAACAAAACGGUAAUUGCAAUAUGGAAAAUACAUCGAAUAAGAAUAACAAGAAACAGCUUUGUGGCGGGGAUAAACAGGCGAUCGAAAAGAUGUUAGAAUUCGGAAGACAGUUAUAUUCCCAAUCGAUACAUUUGCGACAACAGCACGGAAAAAACGAAAGCAAUAAAAAGAUGCUCCAAGAUGCGUUCAGUCUUUUAGCCUAUGCAAAUCCAUGGAACUCGCCGGUUGGUUGGCAACUCGAUCCCCAACAGAGGGAAACCGUCUGCGCGAGACUCAAUUCUGCCAUACUCGAGUCGAGUAACUUGCCACGACGGCCGCCGUUGGAAGUGGCCGCGUCUCACGCGAGAGAAUUGGUACGGCUAAUGUCACACGCUGGUCUUGGGGCAUGCGGCUUCGCGGUCGUAGACAAUAUCAUUCAAUAUUGACGGUGCCUACCUCUGCUGCCACGUCUGCUUCUUCUGCCGGCUCGAGUUUGGAGGUUUUAAAAUACAACAACGUCUCAUUGAAUCACUCUUUAACACCCAUACAGGAAUCGUUUUGUUUUCUCAUGCGUUAAGAAAGACGAAAUUAUAUAUAUUUUCUCUUGUUUUUCUCACUUGGUUUCAUAAAUGGUGCUGUAAUUAGAGAUUAAGAUAAUACAGGAUAUGGAGACGGAACGUGGAGCAGAUAAUAUUUUUGCAGCAACAACUUCGCGACAUCGCGUGCCUCUUCAGCUAGAGUCCGGCAGUUGGCUCUCUGGUUCGAUCUCACACAGCUACACCUGACAUACAAUCGUCUAACAUAAUAUACACGCUCGAGACCCACCAAAAGUAAACAAUGUUACACGGCAACGUGGAUGAGAAGGAAGAUGAUUGCUAAAUGAUCAUUAUUCGAAGAACGAUGAACAUUGAUUGAAGUUUUCCAGAGUCCAAACAAGAAAACUGCUUUAACAAAGUGAAGCACGAUAAAGAAGAAGAAAAAGGAGAAGAAGAAGGGAAACGAUCUUAACGAUCACGAACGGACGUGUAGAGAGGAAAUAGUUAGAAUUAACAGUCAAACUUAAGGCAAACGAAGUUCCGAGGACGUAGAUGGCGUUGGUGAUAUAAGAAACACAAGGGAACAUAAAUACGAUAUUGAGGCUGGAAAUGAGUUAGUUUUCGCUGUAAUAAAGUGAUUUUGGACAUGAAAGAGAUUGAUGAUCGAAGACGGUGAACAAGCUUGAGGCGGAGGAUGACGUGUAAACAUCUGCCAAGACGACCCUUUUCUCGUUUCCUCUUUCUAGCCCUGUAACUUACCAUGAUCUUGAGAUUGUUCCCUCGUUCCCAUAAUAGAUCGAGCCGUUUUCCGCAAUGGGACGUGCUUUCGUAUUUUCGUGUAAUUUAUCAUGAACAGACGAUGAAUAACUCUCUUCAGGUGGGUUUCUAACAUCAUUCAUCUGGCCUUCCUUUCAAUUAACAUUUUCCUCUAAGUUUCUUGUUUAACCUCACAUUCGCUGCUUGUAUUCUACGUGAUAAAAUUUCAAUUCAUAUUUCACGAAAUUUGCAGCUCAUUCUCUGCUGUUUCGAUCUCGUCAAUUAUAGAUGUUUGGCUAAAAGUAGCUAGCGACUGAAAUUUUGGUUCCAUUCAAUGUUCAGAAUUAUUGUAGCACUUUUAAACGAAUUUUAUUUUAUCCAAUUUUUUAGUGCACUGCCUCGUUGUAUAUUCUGUUGACCUUUUUUUACGUUUGCUUCUUUUUGCGAUUAAAAUCUUUGACACACGAUUCGUCGCAUGAUAGCUGACAAUCGGUCAGCAUCAUCUUUUUAUUGAGAAAAUGAACGAGAAAAGAGUCUCGUCGAUACAACUUACGAUUAAUUAAUCCCUCGUCGAUUAUUUUGAUAGCCUUUCUAAUCGUAUGGUCAACGAGUCGAUUUUUGUAUCAAUUGUUAGCUCUUAGUGAAACAAAAAAAAAAAAAAAGGAAAACAUAAAACUCAAAAGGAUAAUAUAUAAAUAAAAAGGAAUAUUCUCCUCUUAUAAUUAAUGUAAAUUAAGGUUAGCAGUAACGUGAGAAUCGACGAUCGUUCUAUUUCCACCUGAUUUCCAUAGCAAACGAAGGAAUUAAAGGAAGGACAAAGCAAUAAUCCUUGACUUUUAGCUAUUUUCUUUCCUCUAUUUUUUGGUAUUCGUUUCCCUUUUUUCUUUUUUUUUUUCUUUUUGUAGGUCGUCUUGUAAAUUUUUAUUAUUGCCUAAUGUUAGAAAAUCGAUUUAAUGACCGUUAAGUAUCUUCGUUUCAAUUUUAUUCGCCCUAGGUUCGACCGAAUAAACGAAAGAAAAUGAACAAGAAAAAACAUAAAUCGUGUAUUAGUGAUAUGUAAUUAAGGAAUACAUUAUGCGAUUACGAGAGAAAAUUUGUAAGGAAGGAAACCAAAGAAAACAAAUAGACAAAAAAUAUGAUAAAGAGCGUGUCGAACUUGAGCGACGAAAUCAACUAAAAAAACAAAUGGGGAAUUAUACGAACCUGAAUGAUUGUAAGUGGUCGAAGAUUAUUGGAGUUAUAUAGCGAAAAUUAAUAAAAGUUAUAUAAUUAAACAGAACGUUGUAAAAUAUGCGGUGUUUUAUAUUUCUGUCUUUUUCUCUCCAAUGAUUCAUUUGUCUAAAAUAUUUCUUUCUGUAAAUUUUAAUUAAUUACUUAUAAAUGUUUUGUAAAAAAAUUUGAAAGUUUCGAUUAGACACAACCUGUGGUUUUAAAUUAAGCGGGUGGAAAAUUGAAAAUUUUUAUACUUAGUAUUAACGUUGGAGUUUAAUAGAUUAAAACGGCGACCCUCUCGAUUGUGUAAGUUUCAUUGAAUCAAUUAGUAAAUUGAUUAGUAUAAUUAUAGAAAUGAAAUUUUAUAUUAAAAAUUGUAUAGAAUUUGUUAGUUCGAAUUUUUCUAACCAAGACUAAUCGUCUCAUCGAAAUCAGGAUUUCUUUAUAGUUGCGGAAGGAGGUAAAGAAACAAUUAAAAAGAUAACUAUUAUGCGAAUGUAAAGAAGAUUUUCGGCCAUGGAACGAGGGAACGAUUGUAACAGUUUAUAAUAAAAAAGUAAUAGGAGGCGAAGUAAGAAGUUUGCGACGAAAACUGAAUAGACAACUGUAUAAGUAACAACAAUAAUAAUGACGAUGAUGAAGUUACAAAAGAAUUACUCAAUUAAUUAAAAAACAAAAAGAAGGAGCAUACAUACAUACAUAUAAAUACAUACAGAUAUAUAUAUACAUAUAUAUACAUACAUACAUACAUACAUACAUAUAUACAUAUGUAUUUAUAUGUAUGUAUGAAACAAUCUUGUAUUCUACGAUAAGUAAUUGUUUUUUAUAUGCGACAUAGUAUAUUAUAUUAUAUAAUACGCGAUACGUAUAUAUACAUGUGUAUGUAUUCGUACAUGCAAAAGGUAUAUAAACAUGUAUAUGUGUGUAAAUGAAACAAAAAGAAGAAAAAAAAAACGAAAGAAUUAAUAUCGUAUGAACUAAUAGUGUACGCGUGAGAUUUCAAGGAAAAAAUGUUUAUUAAUUCAUUUUGUAUGUGUGUGUAUAUGUAUAGGGCACACAUACAUAUCUCUGUAUGUAUCUCUGUAUUCGUGUCGUUCUAGAUACAUAUACGCAAGCAUAGCAACUGUUUGAAAUUUGAAUUCAUAAGGACGAAUGGACUCGAGUGCGUGUGAAAGAGAGGCUGAGAUUAGUUAAAACAAAUAAGAGAGAAAGAGCGAAUGCUUUGAGCGAAUUCGUUGAUUCCGUAUGACCGAUGGAAGAGGAAAAAAAACAAAAAAUACAAUUUGACGACUUUUAGUGUUAAACGUUUUCUGUACUAUAGGUAGAGAGCCAUGAGUAUCUUGCGAAUAAUACAGUAUGAUUUGGAGACAUUGUUCGUUGAA